This 73-nucleotide transfer RNA is filed under the name Parcubacteria group bacterium. RNAcentral describes it as "tRNA-Val". It matches the Rfam family "tRNA". Rfam says of the family: Transfer RNA (tRNA) molecules are approximately 80 nucleotides in length. Their secondary structure includes four short double-helical elements and three loops (D, anti-codon, and T loops). The record is from RNAcentral. RNAcentral also lists the same sequence under 1 other name.
GCGCGUAUAGCUCAGUGGUUAGAGCGUCCGUUUCACAUGCGGAAGGUCGUUGGUUCAAAUCCAACUACGCGCA